CACAGCCAUCAAUCAUUCAUGGAUGGACAAAUUCGCCCAGGGCAGUGAAUGCAAAACAGAAUCAAGUUAUAUUUUGAACUGUGGGUUUCUAGGCUGGGGAAGGUGUACUGUAUGUUACCAAGAGGAAAGACCCAGCUUGAAAACAGAGCCAGCAAAGGGAAAGUACCCCUGAGAGACAGAGAGAGACAAUUUCUGGAGCCCUUCAUCCAAUCAUUUUUCAAGCCCAACAAUUCUACCUCUGUUGUCUUCAUGAAAAUGAAGAAAGACCAUCCAGAUGUGAAUACGGCCAUCCCUCAACACAGCCAGUAGUUUUGCUGUAGACCUCAUUAUUUGGUUCUUGAGAUCAGAUUGUCUCAUCCUUCUACAACCAAAGAAGAGUAUAAUGUUUGACAGUAUAUUGGUUUAAUGAAUACUUACUAAUACAAACAAAUCUAGUAUAAUUGGCAUAAUGGAAAUGAUUAUGUAGUCAUAAGUACGCAGUAAGAUUAUAAUUCUUGAGUUGAGUUUUAUGUACCAG
RNAcentral lists this long non-coding RNA (517 nucleotides) under Homo sapiens (human). Its description in RNAcentral is "HSALNT0146565". Lineage: Eukaryota; Metazoa; Chordata; Mammalia; Primates; Hominidae. The record is from RNAcentral.